RNAcentral lists this long non-coding RNA (1164 nucleotides) under Homo sapiens (human). Its description in RNAcentral is "HSALNT0368018". Lineage: Eukaryota; Metazoa; Chordata; Mammalia; Primates; Hominidae. The record is from RNAcentral.
GAAUAAAGGAGUCAGUCUCCCCACCACCACCCUUGGGGCAAAAGGGACCUGGAUAGGAGGGUUGAUUCUUUGUUAUUCCGGCCCUACUCUUACCCCUCCCAGCUUUUGAGUGUCCUGGAGAAAUGAGAAUCUGAGUCGAUGGUAGUCACCAAUCUGCACUCUGUUCCCAGGACGUCGUUGGAGAACUGUGGGCUCACCUCUGAGGUUGAGAGGGGGUGCCCAUACCUAGCUCCUUCCCCAUUUUUAAUGCCCGUCCCUCACCCCUAUUGGUUCAGGGACAGCGGCUCAACCUGGGAGAAGGACAGAGUUAGGAGGGCGAAUGGAAGCGUGGUCAGGGAGGGCCUGGUUGCUCCCGGAGAGCCCCUGUUUGAGCCUGGCCCCCGCCCCAGGCACCGGCUCCCCUCCCUCCGCCUGAUUCAUCUUUUGUUUCAUUGCCUUCCCUGGCACCGGGCAUCGCUUCCUUCCUUCCUUCCUCCUCCUCCUUUGGGCCCUUAGCAUUAACCCCUUCGUGCUCUGGGUGCCCCCCAGAGAGGUGCCCAAGAGGAGCUGUGCGGGAUCAAGGCUGCUGGAAAAAGGAUUGGGGUGGCGGGGGUUGCGCGAAGUACAAUGGCCAUUAUCCGGGAUGACUUAACCGAGCGAGAAUCCUGAGCCCAGGCCGGGAACGCGCUGGGAGAAGCGGACUCAGCAGCUCCGGCCACAAAGGCGCUUUUCAGCCGCCCCGGCUCAGGGAGAGGAAAGGGCAGAAAGCCGCGCCCCCAAUCCCUGCUCCGUCCGGAUGCAGCCCAGAAGGGCGUGGGAGUAGCACCUGAGAAUAACGGUCUCCUUGUGCGGAUCUGGGGAGCCCCCUGCAGGGUGGCAACCAGAGGAAAGGGCCACAAUGUUCCACGGCCAAGGAGGAAAGAAGGAAUGCCCCUUUUCCCAUCUCUAGGUGAAGCUGGACUCACCCACCUGGGCUGCCAUAGGAAAACGGAGGAGCUGGCAGUGCCCCGGCGCAGGCAUCUAAUAGCUGCUGUUUUUCAAAUGAAUGACUUCUCAGUUGGAAGCUGCUGAAGGGCAGUGGACACUCAAAAGUCUUUGUAAGAGGUACAGAAACAAGGCCAUGAAUAUAAGGAGGAGUCAGGGGACAAGCCAGCUUUAAGCAAGACUGAGGAUGGAGGAGUUUCC